Cynoglossus semilaevis (tongue sole) is the source of this 7330-nucleotide long non-coding RNA. RefSeq lists it as uncharacterized. The transcript has 3 exons. NCBI's taxonomy places the organism in Eukaryota, Metazoa, Chordata, Actinopteri, Pleuronectiformes, Cynoglossidae. The record is from RefSeq and is a predicted model, not a curated record.
GAUGUGAGGUGAGAAGGAGGAGAAUGAGAGAAAAGUAGGAGAGGGACAGGAGAGUGUGGAGAGAGUUAACGAGAGGGAGAGCAUUAAUUGUGUGCAUUGUGCCGGGGCUCUUUUGCUGAGUGUGGAUGUCGAGGUGCGGGCGUUCACCCCUCCAGCAGCCCGCCCUGAUCUGAGCCAUCUCUCUCACACUGAUGUAUUCCAAUGCAAUUAGGCCACUCAAAGACCUGCUUAAAGCUGCACCCCCCUAGCCACCCACCCUCCUCUCUCUCUUUAACUCUCACUCUCUCUCAGCAGCCCCUGUAGGUUACCCUCCAUUGUAACAGGGAGGUGUAUUCUGUCCCUCUUUGAGGCCCUGGAUGAAGAGACCACCCUAGGGAGCAGAAAAAGGGAGGAUUACCUCUCUUUUCUCUUUGUCCCCUUUUCCUCUGUCUUUCUGUCUCUUUAUCGCUCACUCUCUCCGUGUUCACCUCUAAAGUGCCAGAGCUCAGGUAGCUCUAUAUAUAAAUAUAUAAAGCACAGCUUUGGUUAACUCUUCCAAAGAGACACAACUUAAAGGUGUUGCAGCAGGAAACAGAAGUAGAGCAAGUGGAGACCCUUUGUGAUAGAUGUCAAUGUGGGGCAACUCAGCAGUAUCACUUUCCCCUCUUUCUAUUUUCAAAGUCAUAUUUCAACACGUGUUGUGGAGCUUCUAGCUCAUUACUCGUCCCUUUUUUCACCUCUGCCGCAGCUUCAGCAAGAUAUCGCUCUUUCUCUGCCGAAUUAAAGGAGAAAUCUGGUUGCAUUUAACACUUUGGUCGAGGUCAACAAGUACUCUUGAGGGGAAAUAAGUAAUACUGUCCUACAUAGACCUACCACACACUUGGACAGUGUUUUCUUUAAAAUAAAAAAGCAUAUGGUUUUGAAUUGUGUAUUUUGCCAGAAAGUGAACAACUCUGCCACGUACUCACUGAAAAAGAAUGGUAGAUAUUGUACAUAAAAAAGAAGAAGUAUAUCCUAUAGACUUCUUCUGCUUUCUCACGCCAAAGCUAAACGUGUGCAUUGUGUCCUACAACAAACUAGGCCAGACCAUGUUGCAUAGUACUUGUGACGAUAUUUUGAUCAGUGGAAGUGUCCAAGCAGAAGGCUGACUUGCUUUAUGUUGGACCAUGUUGUCUGGAUUUCUUCCCUAUUUAUUUAAAUAGUCAUACUUCAACAAGUGGUGUGGGCCAUCUAGCUCACUCUCCCCUGUUAGCCUCUGCACCACAGCCUUAGAGAGUCAGUCCCCACUGCUCGGCAUGAUGGCAGAGUUCUGUUGGCUUGGUUUCAGAAUGUCUCUGUCCCCAGAAAGCGCUUAAAGCAGAUUACCAACCCUAACACUACACAACCCCAAUAAGAGAGAAAUCUGGCACAUUAUUACCAGCAAUACUACUAAAUGGCAUCAACAGAUUAACGAGGUAAUCCACACAAUGAGGUCUUUGAUUCAUGUGGUUUGGCAGGCAGCAAUGCCAGGCAUAAUGCAUGCUCUUAUUACCCAGCACGAGAAAACCUGGCAGAAGCCAUUGUGUUUUUUUUUUUUGUUGUCUUUCUAUCAGAUGAGCUUUUGAAGAUUUUUUUUAAGCUUAUGCAUCUGGUGCUUUUUGCUUGUUUCCUCAUAUGAGAAACAACCUGCUGGCUGGACCUGUGGAGGAAGGGGAGGAACCACAAGGUUUCUGAAGGCUGUUUAAACAGCAGGGCUGAGGCGUUCUCCCGCGUCCUUCCCCCCAUUUUUCUGCAUAAGGACGUGCGUAGAGGAUGUUUGUGUGUGUGUGUGUGUGUGAGGGAGGGAGGGAGAGACAGACAGAUCUCCCAGUCCCAUCGCUCAUGUGCGGCUCGAUUAGCCCCACGUGCCUCGUUCAUCAGACGUAGAGGCAGAGCAGAUGGCAGGAGACGCACCAUGUUACCACGCUGCAGCACUAUGUAACACUGCUCUAAUUGAAACAUCAAUACUUCCCUGUCAAUAAACUAUUGCUACUUUACAAAACAACACUACCUACAGACCUGCACUUGACCAGAGGAGGCAUGGCAACACUAGUCUCGGCGUCAAACUGAGAUUCAGUGGAAAAAAGUUUCAGACAGAUUCCAAAAAUAGGGAAUUGCACGUUUUUUAAGUGAAUUAAUUUCUGCAAAACAGAUUUAUUGUGGUAAAGGAAGCAUGAGGCAGAAAAGAGGGAGAGACUUUCAUCUGUAUCUUUUCUACAGUGGCACAUUUUUUAAUGAAUUGAUAAAAAGUUGAGGGAGCUCCCAUGGCUGCAAUCAGCAAUUCAACAUUAUCAGAAAUUCACUGAAGAACAGAGAGAAAUUAGGGAGCUAGAAAUUCAUUUGUUAUUUGUCCAACCCAAUGAGGAGUGACACAGCGCCUUUAAUAAAUGGGUAAUCCAUUUCUUAUUGCGCUGAGCUAAUUCACCCUUCACUGAAGUGGAAAAAGACAAACAUAUCUUUCACUAACCUUUGCAACUUUCCCAGGAAAACAAAGAGUACGGAUGAGAGGUGAGAGUUGCUCCAGGGACUAUUUGUUUUUGGGGAAGGAUUUAUAUGGUUGUGUGUGUGUUUCUGUGUCUGGCAGAAGUUAGGGAAUCGAGUAUUAAUCAUCACGGCUGACACUGACAACAGGUCACACAGUCAAACUACACUACGCAGGGUUGAUUCAUGACCAACUGGACUGUCGGACUGUGAAAAAUAAUGAUCUUUAUUUAACUCUGGUUUAUAUUUGUUUCCUCACUCCUCUGCCCACCUCCACCUCUCCUGACUUUCUGCUCACAGUUCCUCCACCUCCUGGAUUUGAAGUACUUUUUGCUGAUCCAUUAUGACAACAUCCUGGAGAAUCUACUAAGAUGUUAUUACUCAGAAUGGAGGAUUUGCAUCCUAAAGCCCUGACGCUGACGACAGCGUUCAACAGAAAUGCUGCAUCUGCACAAAUCCCUCCUUCUUUUACCCCGGCACGCACCUUCAGAGACAAACAGACACACACUCAACCGCACACCAAUGGCAGAGAUUUGUGAGCCAUUCUUCAGUGUCACAGUGAGCGACGCCUGGCACAUCCCUACACCUGAAGAGAAAAGGAAGAAAAGACAACAACAAGGCAGCGAGGGCUGCAGCUAAUGGAGAGGCUGUAAUUGUGAAUGGAGGCAUUCAACUGGAGACAUCGUCCGUGAAUUGCGCCAUACAAUGCCCAGCGCCAGGCUGCUCAGAUCACCAACUAGUCACCAAACACACACAGAUACACAAAAAUACACACAACAAUACCCACAUACACACACACUGAACCCUCAGAUCAGUGGUGCUGAGAGGAGGAACGUAAUCACACCUCCACAGAGAGCAAUACACUGAGGAUGGGCGCAGAGGAGGAGAAGGAGGAGGAAAAGGGCUAGAGGGGAGGAGAGGAUGAGGAGAGGAGCUGUAGGGAAGGAGAGGGAGAGGAGAGAGAGGAGAAAUUAUACAAGAGGGGGAGAAGGAAAGUGAGAGAGGGGACGGUGAAAUUGAUGUUUCCUACCAUUUGAUUUGGGCCAUAGAGCCCAGGAGGCAGAUCAGAUAGUGUGUCCUACACACACACACACACACACACACACACGCAUGUGUGCACAGUCUGUUUGCAGACAGACCCUCACAAACGAGACAAACACACAAAAUAUACGCCGUUUCCUCCUCACACUGUGUGGUGCACAUUGUACACACAUCUGCAAAACAACAUCCACACAUGCAUAGUGUGAAGUAAACACGAACGUGCUGUACAGCAAACACCAGAGUCAGACAUUUUAAGGGGUUUGUAGCAAAUUGCUUGAAAUAUCUCAAUUCACCAUUGGAACUCUGAAACUGAAUGUUUUAAAUGCUACUGUCAAAGAGAAUAUCGCAAAACACAAAUGAGAAAGUGUGCAGGUCGGCUCAUGUAUCACACACCACUCAUCACUGUGGCCCCAUAGUUGUUGUGAUUUACAUAAACGUUGGCAAAGAAGAAGCUGCAAACGGAGAUAAGCACAUGUUAGCCAAGUAAGAAUUAAAAGAAAGCCAAAUAUUAGAAAAAAUAAUAACUUACUAAACAGCCGACAGCAUUUCUUUUAGUAUUCUCUUUGUCCCCUGAGGGAAACUAUUCUUAACAUUUAACCCAUGAAACCUCUCCUAGUGAUAAACACUGGACUAUAUUUAGUGUUUGAGGAGGGGGUGAGUUUGCUGCUUCAUCACUACAGUCCUGGCAAGGCUGGGACUCAAACCGACAAUCGUCCAAAUACAAGCCAUGCGUUGUCAUAUCAAGGUAACUUUAAAGCUAACUAGGUAAAAACUAUGGCUGAAGAAAUUAAGGAGUUAAUUCUGUUGUUAAAUAUAGGAAGAAUAAUUAAUUUUAGAGCAUUUUAACACAUAAGCAGAAUGGUGCACAUUCUAUAUCCAAUAACCCCGACAUCUAUCCACUUAUUUUCGCCCUAACGAUUGGGAAAUAGUUUGCCAGGGACAGUAGACAAAUUAAUGUUGGUCUACAGGACAACAGCUUCACUGUUUUCAAAACAUUCAAUGUGUUCUAGCCAGUAAAGAUUAAAAUCCACAAUUCUAUGAAGCAAAAUGUUAUAUACUGCUCUUGACAUGUUUCCAUUUAAAUAAGUCCAUGAUUUAGUCACAAAUAAAAUCAGGUGUGAAACACAUACAUCGACCAGCAGUUAAUAGUCUUUCUGUCCUGGCAGUUUAUAUAAAGCUUUUUUAUAUGUCAUGUACAGACAUGGUGAUUUAACAUGAUUAAUCAUGAUUGAUUACAUUCACAAUUAUUAUUAUUGAUUUAUGUAUUUAUUUAACAGCUACUCUAUGAUUAAUCUGAUUAAAAAAGUAAAAACAUGUGAGCACGCCCAGAAUGUUUAAGAUGUCAUGUUCUGAAAUAGCUAAAAGUUGACCCUAAAUGAAAUGAAACAGUUCAUAGAAAGUUAGAAAAAUACAUAACAAAAAUGAUUAAAAAGCAGAUAUAAUAAUAAAUAAACUGCCUUGGAUGAAGCUAAAGCACAACCACAAUUUGACAAGUUAAAUCCCUUUUAUAUAUUUAUAAAAUCCCCUAAAUAACAUUUUACUGAAGCAUAAAGGUAAAGAGAGAGAGAGAGAGAGAGAGAGAGACAUGUUUUUCAUAAACCGUCUUGUCUGUUGUUUACAUACAGGAACCCUUUGCACAUGACUUCCUCCACUUUAUAACCAUACUGUACAUCUAAACACCACACAGAUGUACCCACAUUUUAAUUUGCACAACUGUAACAAAGUAGUUUCCCUGUAGGGAUCAUUAGAGGUUUUCUGAUCCUGGUUCUGAAAUAGACAAAUAACAAUACACAGUACAUACAUAUACAUCCUUGCAAACAGUAUGUGUAAAACUUGUAAGGGUUCAGAGCAGCCUCUUAGAAAACCCUACGCUUCCCUUUACCUGCUGAAACACUGGAGAAAACUACACAAACAAACACAAUUAGGCCAAAACACACAGAAAGGUGGGAAGGGGGCCACACACACACAACAAAGACCAUGUGAAGGUAUAUGAAGAAAAAACUCUUCAUCUCCAGGAGGCGAGACGAGGCAGCUGUCAACGCUGCAGCUCCUGCUACUACAGGAGAAAACAUCAGGACACAACAACUCAAUUAAACACUCCAUCCCUGUUCAAUUACAGCCACAUAAUCACUGCAAUUUACCUUCACUCGCCACCAAACAAACACACAUGGACAGCGUGGACACACAGAGAGGGAGGAGAAAACCGACACAAAUGCACACACACACACACACACACACGAGGCAGCAUCACAAUAGAAAACCAGGCUGGAGCUGCUGGAGCUUUGUCCCACACAUCAGUGAGUGUCAGCAUCAGGUGUCUUCAAGGAAAAGAAGAUACAUAGGAUGGUGGUGUGAUGGAAGAAGUGCACGCUUAAAUCCCACUUUUUUUUUCAAUUCAAACAAUUCAUUUGGAUUAGGUUUGUUUUUUGUGCUGACUUAAGGAAUUCUUGGUUGAGAUCGACUGGUUUCUUCAUCAGCCUUUAGUAAUUUCUAGAAAAUGUUUAGCUAAAUAGCUUUUAUUAUUCAUGUAUUUAGCUAAUUUCUAUCUACUGCUGUGUAAAGUGUUUGGGAUGUGAUAAGAGUUGAUUCUACCAGAGAGAGGACAUUAUAAAACGAGAUCUUUCUGCUUGACUUUAAGCUAACUUCAGAUAACUUAAAAUAAAUAGGAUUUUUAAAAAUUAUUAUUACUAUUUCUAAUUUUAUUUAUUUUUUGCAAUAACUUGAAUAUAAUUCAGGUCAAAUUAUCUUUUUUUUUUUGCUUUAUUUGUUCAAAUUAAUGACCAGCAUGGGUAAUCUUAGCUUGCACCUCAUUUUUAUUAAGUCUCUGCGAGGACACUGGAUAAACUCAGUCGCCACUUUUUUUUUUUUCGUCGUCCCUUCAAAUGAAACCUACUUCAACAUGCCUGCAAUAAAUCCAGUUUUAAUGAAGGUUGUAAUGUUUUGUUGCUGUUGUGUUGAUUUAACUUUAUGGUCAUUUUGGAGGCUGCUGGUUGCAGUGCACAGGGGUGGGAUUUAUAGCUGGCUGUUGUAUUAGACUGAAUUAACCCGCUGCUAAAUGUACCUUAUAAACUGGCAAUUGUAUUUCUUGGUUCCUCCAAUGAUUUAUGGAGAAACGUGGGAUUUAACAAAGGACACAGUGGGUCACAGAAAAUCACUAUGUGUUAUUUGCUAGGUAAUUUGUCCUCCCAUUGGGAUGUGUGAAAGUCUAUAAUAAUUAAAAAGUAGAUCUGGAAAGGGACAGAAAUCAUUAAAAUCUCCACAGUAAAAAGUGGAGGUCCUCUGAUAAAACCCAGUCUCUGGACUUUUCAAGUUGCUGAAUGAAAAUUCUCCCACACACUACCAGUUAAAUCUCACUGACAGAGCACAUGUUCAGUCACAGUUACCUUCAGCUGCAUUUUUUUGACGGUCAGACAUGAAGAUGGAUGGAGUUUCCACAUCAAAUUAUGAUCAAAUAUUACGAUCAAACAUUGCGUUCCAAUAUGAUAUAUUUAACUGAAAAACUUAAAGAAACAAACUUUGGCUGAAGAGAUAUAUAUUAUUUAAAUCUUAAAAACUUUAUCUAUCUUCUAUACAUUAUUAGCCACUAGUUUUUUCCAGUGUUUUUAAUGCAGUUCCCACAAUUUGCAUGGAUUAGGACCCCCAACUUAGCCAUGUUCUCCCCUAUGGUGGGAUUUGAUGUUUUCAAAUUUGGAAGGAUUACCUAAAAUAUGUCUGCUAAUAAUGAACAUGUCAGGAUUGUGACAGGGCACCGAACCUGUGAAUGAGUGUGUCUCUUGUGUAAAGUAUGUGUAUGUGUGUGUGAAGACAACAG